Molecule: long non-coding RNA, 1984 nt
Organism: Rosa rugosa (rugosa rose)
Lineage: Eukaryota; Viridiplantae; Streptophyta; Magnoliopsida; Rosales; Rosaceae
Exons: 5
Source: RefSeq, a predicted model, not a curated record
UUGGGUCAACUCUCUCUCUCGGCCUCCCUCCGACUCACCAUCGCUCUCGGCCUCCCUCCGACCCUCCGACUCACCAUCGCUCUCACCCUCAAUCACCAUCGCUUGCGGCCUCCCUCCGAUCCUCCCUGAAAGCCUAUCCCUCCCCCCCUUCCUCAAUCGAACCAAAAUUAAUAACCCCAGAAAAUGAUUUUGCAGAGAUUUCUUUGUGGCUCAUCUCGGGACGGAGUUGUGUGGUCAUUCUUUUAGUCGUGGCCGGAGGACGUGUAGCCUGGCAUUGACUCAUUGGAGGAAGGCGAAGAAGAUGGUGGCUGCAAUGAGUCCGGUGGUCGGAAAUCGGUGACGGAGGAGAGAGAUUCCUCCAGAUCCACUUUCUCUCUCCUCCCUCCCUCUCGUCUGUGCUUUUGUCUCCUCUAAUGAGCUAAACAAAUCCAGCAACUAAAAAAAAGCUUGGUUUGGAUGCAGAUUUGAGAUGUAAAGGAGGUUGAUUUUCUUUAAUUUGAUUUAUGCAGAUUCUGGGUUUCGUUGUGGUUUCUUUAAUAUGGUGGUCUUGGUGGUUCUAUAAGGAGAAUAAAUCAAGAAUCAUGGAGGAGCAACGAUCCACUAAUAUCAACGGUCAAUGCUGUUCCAGAUUUUAAACCAACUGUUUCUGGGAUUCCACCAACUACUCCAGGAAAGAAGAGCAUGACAGGGGUGAUUAUUGGCGUUGCAGUCUCUGUCGGAGUUGUGAGCUUGCUAUUAAUAUUUGCAGUUUUAUAUUUGAGGAGAAAAAUACCAGACAAGGAUGACGAUGAAGGAAACAACUUGCAUCUUGACUGGCAUACCAGAUUCAAUAUCUAGCUUGUUGGGAACAGCAAGAGGACUUGCCUAUCUUCAUGAGGAGUCGAGGCCAAGGAUAGUACAUAGAGAUGUCAAAGCCAGUAAUAUUUUGCUUGAUGCAGACCUCUCCCCAAAAGUAUCAGAUUUUGGACUGGCAAAGCUUUAUGAUGAUGAGAAAACCCACAUCAGCACCCGAGUUGCAGGGACAAUUAACCAACUUGAUAACCGGAAUUGACCUGAUGCAGUCUCCUGUGAAUCCUAAUCUUUCAUUGCUCACUGGGAUUAUAGGAGAAGGAAGGUGAUCCAAGUAUAUUUCUUCUUCUAGCUGGUAAUAUUGUACCCUUGCUGGUUUGAUCUUCUUUGGCUCAGGUCACACUAUCCAUUCUAAGCCAUGUAUUACUCUUUGUAUCUUUCUGUCUAGUAAUGAUGCUGUAUAAGUAAAAUGAGAAACAAUUUUAGAUAGGAUCCGGUUGUUUUCACCGCUCAUAAUGAUAAGUUCUAUACAUCUGUUUAUAGUGCACUUACACUGUUGAUAAUAUGAAUCCCACAUGAGAAAAUGAAGACUUUGCUUAUGGGUUUGUAAUCAGAUUAUUAAUUAUUUUAUCAUACAUAUGCUUAAGUUCAUGUAAUGGAUGUUGCUAUUGAUUACUGUACACUUUGGUAGACUUAAUGGUAUUCAUUUGAAUUGUACUCUUCUUAAUUAUUUCUGUUAUGCUUUGUCGCUAAACUCAAGUUAUGAUGAGCUAUUGUGAUUUUUGCUUCUAUCUCAUGCAGAAAUUCAGAAGCCGAGGAAGAAAUUUUUACAAGAGUUAAUAGUAGAUCCGGAGGCUUUUCUCCCUUCAAAUUAUAGACAAUCGAGCAGCGAGCUUUCCAGAUGUGCCAACAGGUGAAGGACACAUGAGUGGAAACUUUUAUCCAAGUAGUUGCAACAUUCACAUGCAUAGUGAAAUUGGCAUCCGGUUUGGGUUCUGGUGCACUUAGGCUUAUGGUAUUUUGUACUUAUGCUUUGAUUUUGUACUCAUCUUAUCAAGUUAAGUGUAAGAGAUAUAUGUAGUGGCAUUUUUUAGGGAUGAAAAUUUUAUGAAGUGUUUCUUUUACAUUCAGCUUCUUAUAUAUGUAAGAACAGAUGACAUUGAUAUAUGACAAUGUUAUAUUUUGGAUUUGUUCA